UCUCCGUAGGUGAACCUGCGGAGGGAUCAUUACCGAGCGAGGGCUCCGGCCCGACCUCCAACCCAUUGAAGUUACCAACUCUGUUGCCUCGGGGGUGACCCGGCCGCCGCGUCGGGGCCCCCGGAGGCCAUUAAACACUGCAUCAUUGCGUCGGAGUUAAAGUAAAUUAAACAAAACUUUCAACAACGGAUCUCUUGGUUCCAGCAUCGAUGAAGAACGCAGC
This 223-nucleotide unclassified non-coding RNA is filed under the name uncultured fungus. RNAcentral's name for it is "sequence contains ITS1, 5.8S rRNA gene". The stretch from base 175 to 223 matches the Rfam family "5.8S ribosomal RNA", at positions 1 to 49 of the family's 154-position model. The record is from RNAcentral. Lineage: Eukaryota; Fungi.